Dalotia coriaria is the source of this 602-nucleotide long non-coding RNA. RefSeq lists it as uncharacterized. The transcript is spliced from 3 exons. NCBI's taxonomy places the organism in Eukaryota, Metazoa, Arthropoda, Insecta, Coleoptera, Staphylinidae. The record is from RefSeq and is a predicted model, not a curated record.
GUGAGCACGUGUUUUGUUUGUAAGUCUAUCUGCAUAGUUAUUAAUCGUGUUUCUUUAGAUGUUAAUAUGAUAGUGACAUGGACGACAAUGAAUUUCAGCCCAUGUGGCUUACAGUUAUUGAAUUGUCGCUCAUGGAAUCGGGUAUUGAGUGAUUUUGCUAAUAUUCAUGGCUGCCGGAUACCGCCCGCUUGCUAAUAUGUCGAAUUGGUAUUAUUGUUUAUUUAUUCAACGGUUAAUUUAUUAAAAUAAGUAUCAAUUCUUACUAAUGUGAAAUUUUUGUUGAUAACGGAAGAACAAUGAAUUUUGAACUGAGAGAGUUUUAGUCUAUUUGCACUGUCAGGACAGUCCUGACGAUGCUCUUACCGGCGAAUUGUCGAUUCAUCAAAGUAGAAAUGGUGCACUACUGGUGCCUAGUGUGGCACUGGUGCAUCUACCUUACUUAAAAAAUGGGCAAGCGUGGGUGCUUGAUAAUUUAUUUCCACGAUUUUUGACAUAUACGCCGUACUAUGGAGUCCGAUGAGUUCUGCAUCAGUGCCCUCAUUCAGAGUCACUUCUACCGCUACACUCCUACGGUGCCCUGAAUAAGAGUCACUUCUACCGCU